GGAGAGGUGUCCGAGCGGCUGAAGGAGCAGCAUUGGAAAUGCUGUGUACGAUUUAUCGUACCGGGGGUUCGAAUCCCCC
Molecule: transfer RNA, 79 nt
Filed under: Phycisphaerales bacterium
Lineage: Bacteria; Pseudomonadati; Planctomycetota; Phycisphaerae; Phycisphaerales
Description: tRNA-Ser
Rfam family: tRNA
About the family: Transfer RNA (tRNA) molecules are approximately 80 nucleotides in length.
Source: RNAcentral